UUUAGAGGGAAAAUAUUUAAUCUAUUUCAUGAAAAAAAUGUACAAAGCUUUAGAAAAGAGGCAUUCGGUUUCAGUGUACAGUCUGAACACAUUCUGGUUUUCUAUAACCGCAUGAAUUAUACACUUCUUUUGAGUUGGUAAUGAAGGCCACUGCGCUCUCAUUCCAAACCAUCUUAACACAUGUACUUAAAGUCACUGAAAAGACUUGAAAUAAAUGUAGAAAUACAGUGUUGUACAAAAAUAUAUUACUCUAUCUACAUGAAAUGCUUACAAAUGCAGACCAAGUCAAUUCUUUUAGAACUCAACCAAGUCUAAUACAUGAUCCUGUAAACUGGAUUUCAAUUGCAUCUUUUAUCUUUGAAGAAAAAAUAGACAUAAUCAAACUCUUGGAAUGACAGAGAUGAAGUCAGCACAGCAGACCAACUCUAUUCUCAAAGAUAAAACCACAACUUUAUGCACACACAAGAGGAGAAGAGUCUGAGUUUUUAAAACUUGACAAAUUUAUGAAAUGUUACAAUUUGAAAGUGAUUG
This 531-nucleotide long non-coding RNA is filed under the name Bos taurus (domestic cattle). RNAcentral describes it as "long non-coding RNA NONBTAT016239". Lineage: Eukaryota; Metazoa; Chordata; Mammalia; Artiodactyla; Bovidae. The record is from RNAcentral.